Transfer RNA from Exophiala spinifera, 85 nucleotides. It matches the Rfam family "tRNA". Rfam says of the family: Transfer RNA (tRNA) molecules are approximately 80 nucleotides in length. Their secondary structure includes four short double-helical elements and three loops (D, anti-codon, and T loops). The record is from Rfam. NCBI's taxonomy places the organism in Eukaryota, Fungi, Ascomycota, Eurotiomycetes, Chaetothyriales, Herpotrichiellaceae.
GGGCGCAUGGUCUAGGGGUAUGAUUUUCGCUUUGCAUUGCCUAAAUAAUUGCGAAAGGCCCGGGGUUCAAAUCCCCGUACGUCCA